This 494-nucleotide ribosomal RNA is filed under the name uncultured bacterium. RNAcentral's name for it is "partial 16S ribosomal RNA". It matches the Rfam family "Bacterial small subunit ribosomal RNA", at positions 28 to 523 of the family's 1533-position model. The record is from RNAcentral.
GAUGAACGCUGGCGGCGUGCUUAACACAUGCAAGUCGAACGGGAAUUACUUUAUUGAAACUUCGGUCGAUUUAAUUUAAUUCUAGUGGCGGACGGGUGAGUAACGCGUGGGUAACCUACCUUGUACAGGGGGAUAACAGUCAGAAAUGACUGCUAAUACCGCAUAAGCGCACAGAGCUGCAUGGCUCAGUGUGAAAAACUCCGGUGGUAUAAGAUGGACCCGCGUUGGAUUAGCUAGUUGGUGAGGUAACGGCCCACCAAGGCAACGAUCCAUAGCCGGCCUGAGAGGGUGAACGGCCACAUUGGGACUGAGACACGGCCCAGACUCCUACGGGAGGCAGCAGUGGGGAAUAUUGCACAAUGGGGGAAACCCUGAUGCAGCGACGCCGCGUGAAGGAAGAAGUAUCUCGGUAUGUAAACUUCUAUCAGCAGGGAAGAGAUUGACGGUACCUGACUAAGAAGCCCCGGCUAACUACGUGCCAGCCGCCGCAGUAA